Molecule: ribosomal RNA, 253 nt
Filed under: uncultured bacterium
Lineage: Bacteria
Description: partial 16S ribosomal RNA
Rfam family: Bacterial small subunit ribosomal RNA
Source: RNAcentral
UACAGAGGUCCCAAGCGUUGUUCGGAUUCACUGGGCGUAAAGGGUGCGUAGGUGGUGAGGUAAGUCGGAUGUGAAAGCUCGGAGCUCAACUCCGAAAUGGCAUUGGAAACUACCUUGCUCGAGGGUUGGAGGGGGGACUGGAAUACUUGGUGUAGCAGUGAAAUGCGUAGACAUCAAGUGGAACACCAGUGGCGAAGGCGAGUCCCUGGACAACUCCUGACACUGAGGCACGAAAGCUAGGGGAGCAAACAGG